RNAcentral lists this ribosomal RNA (1286 nucleotides) under metagenome. RNAcentral's name for it is "bacterial SSU rRNA". It matches the Rfam family "Bacterial small subunit ribosomal RNA", at positions 242 to 1520 of the family's 1533-position model. The record is from RNAcentral.
UAGCUAGUUGGUGAGGUAAAGGCUUACCAAGGCGACGAUCUGUAGCGGGUCUGAGAGGAUGAUCCGCCACACUGGAACUGAGACACGGUCCAGACUCCUACGGGAGGCAGCAGUGGGGAAUUUUGGACAAUGGGGGCAACCCUGAUCCAGCCAUGCCGCGUGAGUGAAGAAGGCCUUCGGGUUGUAAAGCUCUUCGGCCGGGAAGAAAUCGCAUGGGCCAAUACCCUGUGUGGAUGACGGUACCGGAAUAAGAAGCACCGGCUAACUACGUGCCAGCAGCCGCGGUAAUACGUAGGGUGCGAGCGUUAAUCGGAAUUACUGGGCGUAAAGCGUGCGCAGGCGGUUUUGUAAGACAGGCGUGAAAUCCCCGGGCUUAACCUGGGAACUGCGUUUGUGACUGCAAGGCUAGAGUACGGCAGAGGGGGGUGGAAUUCCACGUGUAGCAGUGAAAUGCGUAGAGAUGUGGAGGAACACCAAUGGCGAAGGCAGCCCCCUGGGUCGAUACUGACGCUCAUGCACGAAAGCGUGGGUAGCAAACAGGAUUAGAUACCCUGGUAGUCCACGCCCUAAACUAUGUCAACUAGGUGUUGGGUGGGUAAAACCAUUUAGUACCGUAGCUAACGCGUGAAGUUGACCGCCUGGGGAGUACGGCCGCAAGGUUAAAACUCAAAGGAAUUGACGGGGACCCGCACAAGCGGUGGAUGAUGUGGAUUAAUUCGAUGCAACGCGAAAAACCUUACCUACCCUUGACAUGCCAGGAACUUGCCAGAGAUGGCUUGGUGCCCGAAAGGGAGCCUGGACACAGGUGCUGCAUGGCUGUCGUCAGCUCGUGUCGUGAGAUGUUGGGUUAAGUCCCGCAACGAGCGCAACCCUUGUCGUUAAUUGCCAUCAUUUAGUUGGGCACUUUAACGAGACUGCCGGUGACAAACCGGAGGAAGGUGGGGAUGACGUCAAGUCCUCAUGGCCCUUAUGGGUAGGGCUUCACACGUCAUACAAUGGUCGGUACAAAGGGUUGCCAAGCCGCGAGGCGGAGCCAAUCCCAGAAAGCCGAUCGUAGUCCGGAUUGCAGGCUGCAACUCGCCUGCAUGAAGUCGGAAUCGCUAGUAAUCGUGGAUCAGCAUGUCACGGUGAAUACGUUCCCGGGACUUGUACACACCGCCCGUCACACCAUGGGAGCGGGUUCCGCCAGAAGUAGGUAGCCUAACCGCAAGGGGGGCGCUUACCACGGCGGGGUUCGUGACUGGGGUGAAGUCGUAACAAGGUAGCCGUAGGGGAACCUGCGGCUG